GAGAAAGGGCUUNGGCCCCGGUACAGUGGCGCACGGGUGAGUAACACGUGGGUAACCUUCCCCAGAGUGGUGGAUAACCUGCCGAAAGGCGGGCUAAUACAGCAUACGACCGGUUGUCUUCGGGCGAUUGGUGAAAGCAGGCCUCUGUAUACAAGCUUGCGCUCUAGGAUGGGCCCGCGUCCCCAUCAGCUAGUUGGUGAGGUAACGGCUCACCAAGGCAACGACGGGUAGCUGGUCUGAGAGGAUGGCCAGCCACACUGGAACUGAGACACGGUCCAGACUCCUACGGGAGGCAGCAGUGGGGAAUCUUGCGCAAUGGACGAAAGUCUGACGCAGCGACGCCGCGUGGGCGACGAAGGCCUUCGGGUUGUAAAGCCCUGUGGGGCGGGACGAACACUCUCUAUUCGAACAGGGUAGGGAGCUGACGGUACCGCCUUAGCAAGCACCGGCUAACUCUGUGCCAGCAGCCGCGGUAAGACAGAGGGUGCAAACGUUGCUCGGAAUUACUGGGCGUAAAGCGCGUGUAGGCGGUUUCGCAAGUCAGGUGUGAAAGCCCAAGGCUCAACCUUGGAAGUGCACUUGAUACUACGGAGCUUGAGUACUGAAGAGGAGAGCGGAAUUCCCGGUGUAGAGGUGAAAUUCGUAGAUAUCGGGAGGAACACCAGUGGCGAAGGCGGCUCUCUGGGCAGAUACUGACGCUGAGACGCGAAAGCAUGGGGAGCAAACAGGAUUAGAUACCCUGGUAGUCCAUGCUGUAAACGAUGAGAACUGGGUGUUGUGGGUAUUGACCCCCGCGGUGCCGAAGCCAACGCGUUAAGUUCUCCGCCUGGGAAGUACGGCCGCAAGGCUAAAACUCAAAUGAAUUGACGG
This 870-nucleotide ribosomal RNA is filed under the name uncultured bacterium. RNAcentral's name for it is "bacterial SSU rRNA". It matches the Rfam family "Bacterial small subunit ribosomal RNA", at positions 69 to 916 of the family's 1533-position model. The record is from RNAcentral.